RNAcentral lists this ribosomal RNA (460 nucleotides) under uncultured bacterium. Its description in RNAcentral is "partial 16S ribosomal RNA". It matches the Rfam family "Bacterial small subunit ribosomal RNA", at positions 338 to 795 of the family's 1533-position model. The record is from RNAcentral.
CCUACGGGAGGCAGCAGUGAGGAAUAUUGGUCAAUGGCCGAAAGUCUGAACCAGCCAUGCCGCGUGAAGGUCAGUGCCCUAUGGGCGUUAAACUUCUUUUGUGCGGGAACAAUAGUGGUCACGUGUGGCCAGACGAGAGUACCGUACGAAUAAGCAUCCGCUAACUCCGGGACAGCAGCCGCGGUAAUACGGGGGAUGCAAGCGUUUUCCGGAUUUAUUGGGGUUAAAGGGUGCGUAGGCUGUGCGGUAAGUCAGCGGUGAAAUGCCCCCGCUCAACGGGGGGAAGUGCAAUUGAUACUGGCUUGCUGGAAUGCGGAUGCAGUGGGAGGAAUGUGUGGUGUAGCGGUGAAAUGCAUAGAUAUCACACAGAACACCGAUUGCGAAGGCAUCUUACGAAUCCGUGAUUGACGCUGAUGCACGAAAGCGUGGGUAUCAAACAGGAUUAGAUACCCGGGUAGUC